UUCGACCUCAAAUCAGGUAGGACUACCCGCUGAACUUAAGCAUAUCAUUAAGCGGAGGAAGA
Molecule: ribosomal RNA, 62 nt
Filed under: Lodderomyces parapsilosis
Lineage: Eukaryota; Fungi; Ascomycota; Pichiomycetes; Serinales; Debaryomycetaceae
Description: Candida parapsilosis partial 28S ribosomal RNA
Rfam family: Eukaryotic large subunit ribosomal RNA
Source: RNAcentral